AGGACGCGGACUCCGAGCUCGGGAGCCGAGGUCCCGCUGGGGUCCCGCGCCCGGGGUCCUUUGCCCAGGGAAGGCGGGGCGGAGGCGCCGGGAGGGGCGGUGAGGGCGGGGCGGGUGGCGGUUCCGCUCUACGGCUCUUUUCUCCCGAAUGCCCGAAACUCGGGGCUGAGAACUUCUCCCCGCCUGUGCCCCGUGCACUCGGCGACCCCCGGCUCCCGCACCUUGUUCCCAGCCCGCCCCCACCCCGCCUCCCGCCGCGCCGCCCCCACUGCCGGCCGCCCGCCGCGCCGCUCUCGGUUACAAAGGAGGGAAAAUGAGCCGGGCGGCGGCGCGGCGCGGGGCUACCGCGGCGGCGGCGAUGGCUGCCGCCCCCGGCACCACGUAGAACGCCCCCGUCCGCCCAGCCGCGGCCCAGGCCCGAGCGGAGCCUACAGCUAGCCACUCGCCUCCCGAGCCCAGCGCGUCGCCUUCUGGCCGGAGGAGGAGGAGGAGGUGGUGGAGGAGGAGGAGAGGAGGAGGAGGCGCCGCCUUCUCCUCGCCGCGCGCCCUCGCCGUUGUCUGCGCUCCGCUCUGGACCAGUUUGGGGAAGUUGCCGGAGGCCGGUGUCGCCCAGAUGUGCGACCUCAUUGAGCCGCAGCCGGCCGAGAAGAUCGGCAAGAUGAAGAAGUUGCGGAGAACUUUGUCGGAGAGUUUCAGCCGCAUUGCUUUGAAGAAAGAGGACACCAGCUUUGAUGAGAUAUGUGUCACAAAGAUGUCUACACGGAACUGCCAGGGAAUGGAUUCAGUGAUCAAACCCCUGGACACAAUUCCUGAGGAUAAAAAAGUCAGGGUUCAGAGGACGCAGAGCACCUUUGACCCAUUUGAGAAACCCGCUAAUCAAGUAAAGAGGGUGCAUUCAGAGAACAAUGCUUGCAUUAACUUUAAGUCCUCCUCCACUGGCAAAGAGUCUCCGAAAGUUAGGCGGCACUCCAGCCCUAGCUCGCCGACAAGUCCUAAAUUUGGAAAAGCUGACUCAUACGAAAAAUUGGAAAAACUAGGGGAAGGAUCUUAUGCUACAGUAUACAAAGGGAAAAGCAAAGUAAAUGGGAAGUUGGUAGCCCUGAAGGUGAUCAGGCUGCAGGAAGAAGAAGGUACACCUUUCACAGCUAUCAGGGAAGCUUCUCUCUUAAAAGGACUAAAACAUGCUAACAUAGUGCUGCUUCACGACAUCAUCCACACCAAGGAGACGCUGACACUUGUGUUUGAAUAUGUGCACACUGAUUUAUGUCAGUACAUGGACAAGCACCCUGGGGGGCUGCAUCCAGAUAAUGUGAAGUUGUUUUUAUUUCAGUUGCUGCGAGGGCUGUCUUACAUCCACCAGCGUUAUAUUUUGCACAGAGACCUGAAACCACAGAACCUUCUGAUCAGUGACACGGGGGAGUUAAAGCUGGCAGAUUUCGGUCUUGCAAGAGCAAAAUCUGUCCCUAGCCACACAUACUCCAAUGAAGUGGUUACCUUGUGGUACAGACCUCCAGAUGUCCUCCUGGGCUCGACAGAAUAUUCCACCUGCCUUGACAUGUGGGGAGUCGGCUGCAUCUUUGUUGAAAUGAUCCAAGGGGUUGCUGCUUUUCCAGGAAUGAAAGACAUUCAGGAUCAACUGGAGCGAAUAUUUCUGGUUCUUGGAACGCCAAAUGAGGACACGUGGCCUGGAGUUCAUUCUUUACCACAUUUUAAGCCAGAACGCUUUACCCUGUACAGCUCUAAAAACCUUAGGCAAGCAUGGAAUAAGCUCAGCUAUGUGAAUUAUGCAGAGGAUCUGGCCUCCAAGCUCCUACAGUGUUCCCCAAAGAACAGACUAUCAGCACAGGCUGCCUUGAGCCAUGAGUAUUUUAGUGACCUGCCCCCACGGCUAUGGGAACUGACCGAUAUGUCUUCUAUUUUUACCGUCCCAAAUGUAAGAUUGCAGCCAGAAGCUGGAGAAAGCAUGCGGGCCUUUGGGAAAAACAAUAGUUAUGGCAAAAGUCUAUCAAAUAGCAAGCACUGAUGAGCACAACAUUCUCAAGAAAGCACAGUCUGCUGCAAGUGGACACUACAAAAAGCACGAAGCAUCCCUAAUCCCACGAGCCUGGUGUGCACUGGCUGACGUCACUGUGGUCUCCAGCUCUUUUGCCAGUGGAAGGGAGACACUGACCCCAGGCCUGCAAGCGCUGUUCUUUGCUCUGCCGCUAAACCACUGAGCUGUUGGCACUUUCAUUGUUUUAUACCAGGAGGAAAUCAAUUGUGUUGAUGAUUAAGUUGUCAUCAUUCUGGGAAGAAAAAAAAAACAUUAAUGAAGUGGCCAAUAAUACGAAGGGAAUGACGGAUCAGUUUCCUUCCCCUCCCUGUGGUGGAUUUCACUUACAAGAAAACUGAAGCUGGCAAGACCCUGUUUUCUCUGCAAUUUAUUUAAAACCUUGCACGCAUUUGGAUACCUUGUGAUUUCCAAGAACUAUGUGAAGAUUAAGCUUUGCUUACUGAUACAUGGCAUGUAUUCUUUUCAGUCUUUUGUGUUUGAUUUUGUUUGAUUUCCCUCUGCAGUGCAACGUCUCUGUAAAGGUUUUUAUGCUUUCACCAGCCAUGUCUUAAAUACAUUAAGACAACACAUUUGGUGUUCACACUUCUUCAGUAAUGUCUGUACUUGAAAGCCACAUAGUGGCAUAAAACAAUGUGUGUUUUCUUUGAGAGCAGUGUACAUUUUGCAACCACCAGGAAGGAAAUUUUUAGCUAAAGCAAACCCCUGUUCUCAGGCUGACUUGACAACUUGGUCCCUAGCUGUGGGGCCCCACUUGUCACUUACCUUUUGAGGACAUCUGCAAAUGUGGUUUUUUUCUUGGAAAUAACUGCACAUGUAUAUAGGAUAUUGGAAUCUGCUUAGCAUUUUCAAGCCACAUAGCAUGACUGUUUUCCAAGUAGGUUGGAAGUAAAGAAACAAAUAUCAAGCAUUAAGAACAAAGACAGGGAUAAAUUGCUUACUUUUCAACCUCUGGAAAUUAAGGUGACUUUUUACAUGUUUUCUGGGUCUUGUCAACAUCUUAUAUUUUCCAUCCACUCUGUUAUGCUUCAGGAGCAUUUUCUAAGUGGAGGAGAAAAGAAUGAGGAACAGAAUGCUUACAACUUGGGUGCAAAAGAAUUGUAUCUGCUGGAUGAGCCCCAAAAGCCAUCUUGGCUAGUUACCAUUUAAAAAAGCAAAUUACAGAGUUAUCCAGAGUUAAAAAUUUGCUCAUUUACACCAAAGCACCUUUACAUUACACUUUUUAAAACAUUCCAAGCUGAUCGGAAGACAUCACUGGGGACCUUAACUUUAACCAGUCUCCUGGAAAAACUGUUCUUACGCAGGUUGUAGAAACAAUGCAGGAGUCUAGCUUUCAAGAUGGCAAGGGAAAAAGAAAGGCCCAGCUUCCCUUAUUUAGAAGAUGAGGGACCUCGAAGGAUGAAGGCGCUUAUGUGACAAGGAGGGAAAAGUGGACUGGGCACGCUCUGUGCUUUGAUGGGGAGGGCAAGCUGCCUGAUGCAGGCCUUCUCCCAGUGGGGCCGGCCUCGCUGCACAACCCCAAAUAAUACUGAGGCCAACGGGGCAGUUAUGGAACUUCAUCUAAAGCAUGAAACCUAGCCCCUCAGAACACCAAUUCCUGUGGAAAUACUCUUCAUGUAUGUUGUUUUACAUUUUCCUGUUGGUCAGAAAGAAGGAGAGAUUGAGAACUUGAAAUGCAUCGCACUUUUUAGGAUCAAGACUAGGAAUUAUGAGCCAGUUUGGCAAAGGCAUUCUCUGAAAGUCCCAUGAGGGAAUAGCUUCUCUCUAGUCAAAGCCAGUAUUCCUAGGAAAUUGGACCCAAAACUUCUAAGCAUUAAAAGGGUACCUUCCCUGGAGUGCGGCAUGAAUAAAUAUGUCAAGGUCACAAUCCAUCCUAUUCAGAAGUAGCAUUCAUUGAAAGCUUCUAGGUGCAAAGCAAAGAAUUACUUACUAAUUGAUUUUAAAGAGAGCAAAAGUUACCCAAGGCUAGAGUGUUUACUGUUUGCUACCUAGAAGUCUUUCCCAUUCUCUCUGACAUUCCAAGCCACUGGAAGUCUUUAGUGGUAUUUUACCAUGUGCUUAAAUUAGGAUUCCUUAACAUAAAUACGGAGAGAAAAUUUUACAUGCAAUCAAGAACAGCCUUGCCUGUGAUUGGUUUUGAAUUAUUUCUUUGGGGGAGAGGCAUAACUUUUGUAUUUUACUAACUUUAAACCAAGAGCAGCUGGUGAUUAAAUCUUGCUAUUUAAUAAGCUUUCUAAGUUGAACAUUUGAAAAUAUUUAAUAUUAAGAGACUUCGAUUAGGAAUGUUAGCGUCAUUCAGAGAUAUCUGCCCCUGUCAUAGGCAGCUUCUCUCGGGAGAGGAAACAUAAUGCUACUCAGUGUGGAGGGAAAUCUGGUUUUUACACAGACAUGUGUCUCAGAAGGUCUCAUUUAGGAGGUUUGUAGCUCCCCAGUCUUGUCCUCAGUACAGGAAAUCCAAAGUUGGGUUUGUCUCUCUCCCCUCUCCUCUCCUAUUGGCAAUCCAGCUUCCCACCUCCCCUCCCCCCGCCCCCUCCCACGGAGGGCAUCCAUGAAAAUCGUUACAGAAUGUGUUCAUUAGCAGAUUUAUUAUUCUAUUGAGAAAGCACUGGAAUGUUUUGUGAGAUUAUUUUUAUAUGAAGGACUAGCCUGAAUUCAUACAGCUGGAAUAUUAGGAAUUCAUUAGCAUUGUGGUGGUAUCAAUGCAACAUCAGUGCACGCACAGUAUUCUGAAAGAAAAUUUGGGACAUUGCCAUUUUCUUAAAGGGACAGUUUGGUUGACUUAAAGAUGCAGGAUACAUAAGACAUGAAAAAAUGUUUUUGCAGUGCUCAAAAGAAAAACAAAAACAAAACAGGGGACAUAAGGCAGGGGUGGCUGUCCAUCCACUGAAAAAAGGGUGAGAAGCUAUUUCUACCUCCCAAGAGUAGUAAGAGAAGUUUCCAGGGGAGCCUCCAGGUGUGCAGAGAAAGCAAGACCUCUUGGUAUCUUUCCCUCAGUGUGUACAUGAAAGCCAGUGUAAUUAAUACCCUAGGUUAUGUGUCUAUAUAAGAUACUCAUCUGUGAAUAGUACUUACUGGUUUUGUAAUCUUUGUUACAUAAGAGGAUGUUUAGGCUGUACAUACUGGGGUGGAUUUUUCCCUGCCCCGCUAUACAUAGGAAUAUGCUGCAUAAUUGCACAUAACUUCUAUCUCUCUUACUGGCUUGUAGGCAGAGGAAACCACAUAUGUUACUGCCUUGCAAUUUUCUCAUAUACCAAAAACAACAACAACAAAAAGGUCUCAAGUAAAAUAAGCAAUCUCCUAUUUUCAUUCCCCUUCCUACAGCAGCAUAUUUAAGAGGCACAUACAAAAUCUACAUUCUCUAGUUGGGAGUGGAUUUUUUUUUUCUUUUAUCUUUUAUCUUUUUUUUUUUUUUUGGUAUGAUACACUGAGAUGUGUACUUUCUAGCAGAGGGUCGGUACCUAAGAAAUGUGUUAGCAUCAUUCAGAAAACUAUUAUACUCCAAAAUGAAACAUAGUAAGGAGAAUGGAAUAAUACAUGUUGCAUAUUUGUUACCAAGUGUAAUUUGUCUGUAUUAUGAAAGAUGUAAUGGUUUGUCAGUUGUCACUGUUGUUUUCUUGUAACAUGAUAUGGAAUAAAGUAUAGCAGAACCUCUGUA
RNA transcript from Zalophus californianus (California sea lion), 5705 nucleotides. It is a transcript of the gene named cyclin dependent kinase 14, with no coding region annotated. The record is from RefSeq and is a predicted model, not a curated record. NCBI's taxonomy places the organism in Eukaryota, Metazoa, Chordata, Mammalia, Carnivora, Otariidae. The transcript is spliced from 16 exons.